AGUAUACUGGAUAAGAAUUCUAGAUCUGUCAAAGAUCAGCUUGAUUUCAAUGUGCCAAAUCAUUCUUCGGUUUUUGAUAGGCUAGUUUUUCCUUCUGAUUCCCCAAAGGCCUCUAAAUCUUCUAAUCAGUUUUGUUCACGAUGCCUUAGGCAGGAUCAUGGGGUUUCAAAUUGUUCUAAUCCUAUCCGGUUUGUGAACCAUGAUAGAGGUACUAACUGGAGAGCUGCUCAUGCUGACAGAGGAGUGUGGAUUAUGUUUCUAGGGUAUCCUCUAGACUUCCGCUCUACAAGUUACAUCUCUAGAGCUAUGGGUUUGUUUGGAAAGUUAGACUACUUGCAGGAGGUUGAUGCUAUCCCUGGUCGUGUUCUGUUGCAGGCAUAUUUUGAUGGUGUUGAUUUGGUCCAAGGAAGAAUUAUUCCUAAUCAUGGUGGUCAAGGGGAAUCGUGGACCUUUGGAGUGCUUAACUUAAAUAAUAAGUUUGCUAAUCCACAACCGGAAGAUGAAGAUUUGCCCCCUAUUGGUGUCCCGCCACCGCCACCAGGCCCCCCUCAACAUCAAGGUCCAGCUUGGGAUGAUAUUAAUCAGCAGCAAGAGGAUGGGACUGGUCAGUCUGGUAUAAGCUCACAUGGAGGAAGUGAAAAUAUGCAGAUCAUAAUGUUGGCUGACAAUACUAAAUAUUUUCCACAGUUUUCUAUAACACCUGAGAUGCAGGAGAAGAUUGAUGAGUUCCUUUUGAGGGUGAAACUUUUGAGCUCUUUGCAAAAUAGAGCCCCCAUCCCAAUGCCCAUUCAAAUAGCUGCUCUUUUCAAUCAGCUCCUUUCCCUAAAAGGAAAGCUAUCACUGACUGUUCUCCACCUGUUAUUAAAAGGGACAACCUGGGUGAGGCCUCAAGUUGGGCCAUGGAAAAAAAGUCUAUUAGUGGUUGAUGAUGUCAUGCAUGCUUUAGGGGAUCUAAUGAUUUCUCUAGUUCCCCUGGCUAUUCUACCCCCUACCCCUCUGGAUAUUUUUGCUCCUGAUGAAGUCCCUCUACUUAUCCUUAAGGAAUCUAACUUUGAUUCUGAUAUUUAUUUUGAAACUGAUUAUUCCCCAUCUGAUUGUCUGUUUCCCUUUUUACAAAAGAUGGGAGUUCAAACGUGCAGUCUAUCUCUUGAGAAGGUGGCUAAAAGCAAGCUGGGAGGAGCUAAAUUGGACUUGGUGCCCAGGCCAGCUGAAGAAGAUGAUUAG
RNAcentral lists this long non-coding RNA (1224 nucleotides) under Oryza sativa Indica Group (long-grained rice). Its description in RNAcentral is "lncRNA OsMH63_07G011130". The record is from RNAcentral. Lineage: Eukaryota; Viridiplantae; Streptophyta; Magnoliopsida; Poales; Poaceae.